RNAcentral lists this ribosomal RNA (301 nucleotides) under uncultured bacterium. Its description in RNAcentral is "partial 16S ribosomal RNA". It matches the Rfam family "Bacterial small subunit ribosomal RNA", at positions 509 to 808 of the family's 1533-position model. The record is from RNAcentral.
CAGCAGCCGCGGUAAGACGAACCGUGCAAACGUUACUCGGAAUCACUGGGCUUAAAGCACACGCAGGCGGCGACAUAAGUUAGAGGUGAAAUCCCAUCGGCCCAACCGUGGAACUGCCUCUAAUACUGUGUUGCUUGAGGGAGAACGGGGCAUUCGGAACUUCCGGUGGAGCGGUGAAAUGUGUUGAUAUCGGAAGGAACGCCGGUGGCGAAAGCGGAAUGCUGGGUCUCUUCUGACGCUGAGGUGCGAAAGCUAGGGUAGCGAACGGGAUUAGAUACCCCAGUAGUCCCUGUCUCUUAUA